GCCGGGCAUGGUGGUGUGUGCCUGUGAUCCCAGCUACUCAGGAGGCUGAGGCAGGAGACUCGCUUGAACCCGGGAGGUGGAGGUUGCAGUGAGCUGAGAUCAUACCACUGCACUCCAGCCUGGGUGACAGAGUGAGACUCCGUCUCAA
RNAcentral lists this non-coding RNA (148 nucleotides) under Pan paniscus (pygmy chimpanzee). Lineage: Eukaryota; Metazoa; Chordata; Mammalia; Primates; Hominidae. RNAcentral also lists the same sequence under 1 other name. The record is from Rfam by way of RNAcentral.